Long non-coding RNA from Tachysurus fulvidraco (yellow catfish), 1228 nucleotides. RefSeq lists it as uncharacterized. The record is from RefSeq and is a predicted model, not a curated record. The transcript has 7 exons. NCBI's taxonomy places the organism in Eukaryota, Metazoa, Chordata, Actinopteri, Siluriformes, Bagridae.
UGGCAUCUGUAUUAGCAGCCAAUCAGCUCCAAGCCAAGCAGCUUUAUCAGACACUCACAGCUGCCUCUGGAGCAGUUUAAACCGACUGUCAGUCAACGCCACGCUGCAGCCAGAAUCGCAGUCCACUGUAACCUGGCUCUGACCGGAACAGAGACGCCAGACUGAAGCUUUUGUGAGAAACAGGCGAGUCGUACCUGUUCCACAGAGCUACUAGGGCGUACUCGUGUAAGUCUGCACUUGGCCCUCCCUUCUUGUUCUCGAUGUUCGCUGCGGUCUUGGACAUGCGGAGGGGCUUCAUGCCGUACGUGCCGGCAUGAUCGGUGAUGUAAUUAUACAGCUGGUGAGCAGUUAUCAUUCCCGUUGACAUGGAAAAGCUUCCUGCACACAAAGUCAAGCACGAAAUCAAGCUGGAAAUGAUGACCCAACAGAAAAAAAAACAAGAGAUUUACACACUCACCCUGGAAGACGUGGUUGCGGCCAAACUUGGGGAUGUCUGGAUGAUGGGAAAUGAAGUCCUCCAGGAAACUGUUUAGCUGAUAGCCUUGCCUCAACGUCAUGUGACAGCCUAGCAGGAGAAAGAAGAAAAAGAGGACCUGCCCUCUGUGGACAUAGAGCUCAGCAAGGCUGCGCGUGCACGAGCAAUACUGCAGAGGAAAAUGUUCAGCGACAUCACUCGGUUUUCAUCUAUUGCACCAAGAUCCUGCACUUUCACAAAAGCAAGUUUGGGCUGCGGUCUGAUGCACAAUCCCUGUGCCAACACUGUAUAAAGCUGUGCCCCAUAGCGUGCCACAAUGUCGGCUCCAUCCUGAUUUGGCAAACGGCCGGCGCUCACGUCUCUGAGAGCUUCGUCAAAGGGCACAAGCUCAGCAGGAAAGGGCAGAUGGGGCAAGCCACGUCCCGAAUUACUCAAACGUCCUGCGUCCUUACAGGGCACUGGCGGUACAGGACUUCUCAGCAGGGCAUCUGCCUCCAUCGUGGAGCUGAGGAACGGGUUUGACUCCUGCUAAGAGUGAGGAAACGAAGGAAGCAGCAAAAAGUCAGUAUAAAUACAACGGUACAGUCUGUAUUACCAGCACUUCCACUACAAGGACCUUGUCUUUUUUCUUUGUCCUCACCUGAAGAAAAAAUUAUACAAAAUGGUGAAUACAGAACAUGAAAAAACCGUAGACUUCAGCAUCAAUUAUGCAUUGAUGAAUACAAUGCAAAAUAAUAAAUACAAACGCUGUCA